CCGGAUGAAUUUCUCGCCUGGCC
Molecule: microRNA, 23 nt
Filed under: Ixodes scapularis (black-legged tick)
Lineage: Eukaryota; Metazoa; Arthropoda; Arachnida; Ixodida; Ixodidae
Also listed under: 1 other name
Description: Isc-Mir-278_5p (mature (guide))
Source: RNAcentral